Molecule: ribosomal RNA, 360 nt
Filed under: Triticum aestivum (bread wheat)
Lineage: Eukaryota; Viridiplantae; Streptophyta; Magnoliopsida; Poales; Poaceae
Description: partial small subunit ribosomal RNA
Source: RNAcentral
AUGCACGGUGAGGAUAUAUCCUUCCCUGGAGCUACCAAUCCCCUUCACUGGUCUUACGGGCUCGAAGUUACCAUGGAGAUGUCAGUCCAGGAUGUCGCUUACUCCAUGUUAACUAUCAUUCGAGUUGGGCACGCGUCGCUUCAGGACAUUGAGUUCUGCUAUCUGCCAGCAGCACUUACUGGCCAGGAGGGUUACUACACUGGUCUUUACACUGACGCUACUCAUGAGGAGCCGCGCCUUUGGACGACCACAGAGAUGCUGGAGGAAAGGGAUUGUGAGGUCCGUGCCCUCCGGAUGGAGCUUUACAACACUCGAGCUGACCACUUGGCCGCUCUGACAUGGCUUGCACCCGCCGUGUAG